AAAGAAUAGACAAUAAUCUAGAUCAUUUAAAUUCAGGACUCAGAUGAGGAUCCUGACGAGUCCUGAAGAAAUUAGAACUUUUAUCAGCAUAGUACAUACUGGUCCUCCAAACACUGAAUAAACAAUUAAAACAAAUACUCAGCUCCAGUUUAAUACAGCUAAGUAUUUAAAAAAAAACACACUAACUUUUGUCAUUUCUGGAUGCCUUGCAUUCUUCUGAUUAUCACUCUCCUGUCCUCCAUCCCCCUUGUUUCACUUAUUCUUGUUUAUAACAGUUUCUUUUUCUCCAUGUUCCUCCUGUGUCCACAUUCUUACAGGUCAUUAGCUCUCAAAUAUUCUGAAUUUGGGGAGAAAGGAACUUUUCUCAGGUCUCUCUACAUUCUGUAUUACAUUUAUGUCCUUUUCCAUUCUUUCUUUAUUUUCUAUUCAGAAGCCUUCCUUAUUUUCUGUUUUGGGGUUUUAUUUUAUUCAACUGUAUAAAUACCUAGAUAAACAAUUACAUCCAUCACNAUUUUCUAUUCAGAAGUCUUCCUUAUUUUCUGUUUUUGGGUUUUAUUUUAUUCAACUGUAUAAAUACCUAGAUAAACAAUUACAUCCAUCACCAGGGUAUCAGAACAACUUUAAAACGUAUUAAAAUAUACCUGUGAAGUAUGCAUUUAUUCUUGCCCUUUCCCCAAUCCAUUCUCAUUGCCCUUUGCCCCAUUUCAAUGGGCCAUCCUGCUCUGUGAGACAUUCAUGUCACUGCAAGAGAUGGAUUCAGCCUCCAGCAUCAUUCCUAUUAGUGGUCUGGACAGAAUUUGAACUGUUGACUGAUAAACGGCCAAAGGCUCCAAAUCCUAUUACUUGUCCUUGUUUCUGGACUGAUGCUAGAACCCUAAGUUGAAACAUAAUAUGUGAUGGUUACAAACACUAGGAAUGAGAGGAUAANCUGAUAAACGGCCAAAGGCUCCAAAUCCUAUUACUUGUCCAUGUUUCUGGACUGAUGCUAGAACCCUAACUUGAAACAUAAUAUGUGAUGGUUACAAACACUAGGAAUGAGAGGAUAAGAAGGAACUUGUAAUAUUUUCCAUGGGAUCUCAUGACAACAGCUGUAACUUAUAACAACAUGAAAUAUAUAAUAAAGGGCAUAUUUUUCAAGUACUCA
Molecule: long non-coding RNA, 1144 nt
Filed under: Gopherus agassizii (Agassiz's desert tortoise)
Lineage: Eukaryota; Metazoa; Chordata; Testudines; Testudinidae
Description: lncRNA (ENSGAGG00000019308.1)
Source: RNAcentral